This 3519-nucleotide ribosomal RNA is filed under the name Triticum aestivum (bread wheat). RNAcentral describes it as "partial small subunit ribosomal RNA". The record is from RNAcentral. Lineage: Eukaryota; Viridiplantae; Streptophyta; Magnoliopsida; Poales; Poaceae.
GUAGAAUACCAGUGACGCGCCUAUAAAUUAAGAACAAUGGUGAACGGGAAGAAUCAAACACUCCAUACUCCAAACUUGUAAACAUAUACGUAUAUGCUUUGUUGGUCUCGUCUCUGCCCUGCAGCCGAAGGCGUAGCUCUUAUUCCUGCCAGGAAAGAAAAGGAAAUCCCCCAGAUCGAUCUAAUUCGACCAGCGCACGUACCACUAGCUGCCCAGCUAUGAAGGUUACUGCUAAGACCCGACAGUUGCUUCUCUUGGUGUUGGUGGCUUGCACUGCACAUGCCGCCAUCUGCAGCUCCUCCUCCUUGCAUGGAAACGAGACAGAUCGACUAUCACUGCUGGGAUUCAAAAAUGCAAUCAGUCUCGAUCCGCAGCAAGUCUUCAUGUCCUGGAACGAUAGCACACACUUCUGCAACUGGGAAGGUGUCUUGUGCAGGACAAAGAAGACUCUACCACAUCGUGUCACUUCUCUAAACCUUACAAGCCGAGGUUUGGUAGGAGUAGGACACAUCUCUCCUACACUUGGGAACCUUUCAUUCUUGCACUCUCUAGCCCUGACGGAAAACUCACUUACCGGGGAGAUUCCGCCCUCCCUGUCACUUGCGCCGCCUCCAAACCUUGCACUUGGAAAAUAACACACUGCAAGGUAGGAUACCGAGUUUUGCAAACUGCUCGAAGCUCAAGGAUCUGCGUUUUUCAUUUAACAAUCUAGUUGGCCAAUUUCCUGCUGAUUUGCCUCCUCGCCUUCAGCUGUUAAAACUUCCAGCUAAUAACCUCACUGGCACCAUCCCAGCUUCUCUUGCCAAUAUCACAACACUAAAAGUGAUUUCCUUUGCAUAUAAUCACUUCAAGGGAAAUAUCCCAAGUGAGUUUGCAGACUUGUCCAGCUUGCAGACCCUGUAUGUUGGUAUCAAUCAGCUCACAGGUAGGUUUCCCCAAGCCAUCUUGAAUCUUUCUACACUUGUCGGCCUUUCCCUUGCUCUCAAUGGUCUAAGUGGGGAGGUACCACCAAAUUUAUGUUCCUCACUUCCCAAUCUCCAGAUACUUCAAUUGGGAGCCAACUUGUUUCGAGGGCACAUUCCUAGUUCACUUGCUAAUGCUUCCAAUCUAAUCUUCAUUUAUUUGAGCCGAAACCACUUCACCGGAUCGGUGCCCAAGAUUGGCAAACUUACCAACCUCGCACAUUUGAAUCUUGAAAGAAAUCAACUCCAAGCACAUAGCAGGGAAGAUUGGGAGUUUUUGGACAGCUUAGGCAACUGUACGGAGCUACAAGUGUUCGGGAUGGGUUGGAAUCGUCUAUCAGGGCAGGUACCAAGUUCAUUAGGCAACCUUUCGAGUCAAAUCCAACGUCUAUACUUGAAUGAAAAUCAACUAUAGGGAGGUUUUCCUCCCGGCAUAGAAAACCAUCGCAACCUGUUUGUUUUAGCAUUGGAGGGGAAUCAUUUUACAGGUGUGCUUCCUGAGUGGAUUGGAAUUCUCAAACCUUUGGAACAAGUUCGUUUGAACACAAACUUCUUUACAGGGAUCAUUCCAUCAUCCUUGUCCAACUUGUCUCAAUUGGGAUUGCUCACUAUAUUCUCGAACCAGUUAACUGGCCAUAUACCACCAAGUUUUGGAAACUUUCCAAUGCUUCAAUAUUUGGACAUUUCCAGCAACAAUCUUGAUGGUAAGAUUCCAAUGGAGAUCUUCAAAAUACCAGCAAUAAAUAUAAUUAAUGUAUCUUUCAAUAACCUCCACGGACAACUUCCUACAAGCAUUGGGAAUGCUAAACAACUCAUAAAUUUUGCGUCUUCAUCAAACAAGCUAUCCGGAGAUAUUCCAAACAGUCUGGGUGAUUGUGAAAGUUUAGAAUACAUUGAAUUAGACUCAAAUAUUUUUAUUGGAAGCAUUCCCACUUCAUUAGGCCACAUAACCAGCCUCAAAGUUUUGAACUGUUCCACCAAUAACUUAACUGGGCCAAUACCAAUAACUCUUGGCAACCUACAAUAUCUUGAGAAAAUAGAUUUGUCAUUCAACAAUCUUAAAGGUGAGGUUCCAACAAAAGGUAUCUUCCGUAAUGCUACUGUUGUGUGGAUUGAUGGAAACAAGGGUCUUUGUGGUGGGGCACUGGAGUUACACAUGCCAGCAUGUUCUAUUAUGCCUUCAAGUUCAACUAGACACAAGAAAUAUUUAGUGCUCGAAGGAGUUAUACUAACAGCCAGUAUGGUGUCACUUGCUAUUGUCAUAUUUGGCUUAAUUCUCUGGAGAGGAAAACACAAGAGAGAAUCUAUAUCUUUGCCUUCAUUUUCUACAACAUUUCCCAAAGUUCCUUUCAAUGAUCUAGCGAGAGCAACACAAGGAUUUUCAACAUCCAACUUAAUUGGCAACGGGAGGUAUAGUUCUGUAUACCAAGGAAAACUAUUUGAAGAAGAAAAUGAGGUUGCAGUAAAAGUCUUCAACCUCGAGACAAGAGGAGCACAAAAGAGCUUUUUUGCGGAAUGUAAUGCAUUGAAAAAUCUUCGGCACCACAAUCUGGUCCCAAUUCGAACUGCAUGCUCAAGUACUUAUUCUAAUGGUAUUGAUUUCAAGGCCCUAGUGUAUGAGUUCAUGCCACGAGGAGACUUACAUAAACUACUAUAUUCAACUAGAGACUCUGAAGGAUCUUCAAAGUUGAACCUUCUUACAAUGACUCAAAGGAUGAGCAUUAUGGUGGAUGUAGCAGAUGCAAUGGAGUACCUACACCAUAACAAUCAAGGAACAAUGGUUCAUUGUGAUCUGAAGCCUAGCAACAUUCUUUUGGAUGACAAUAUGACAGCUCAUGUUGGAGACUUUGGCUUGGCAAGAUUCAAAGUUGGUUCCACGGUGUUAUCUCUUGGUAACCCAAACUCUUCUUCGGUUGGACUAAUGGGGACGAUCGGAUACGCUGCUCCAGAAUAUGCAAGUGGUGGUCAAGUUUCAACCGCCGCAGAUGUUUACAGCUUUGGUGUUGUCCUCCUCGAGAUAUUCCUUGGGAGAAGGCCAACUGAUGACAUGUUUAAGGAUGGACUGAGUAUUGUGAAGUUUACAGAGAUCAGUUUACGUGAUAGAGUAAUUGAGAUUAUCGAUCCUCAACUGAUACAAGAGUUGGAGCUUUGUCAUGAUACUCCAAUUGGUUUGAAUGGAAAAGGUGUAUGCUCUCUGCUAUGUAUGCUAAACAUUGGUCUUUGCUGCACCAAGACAUCUCCGGGUAUUCGCAUCAACAUGCAAGAGGUGGCUGCCAAGCUACAUGGUAUCAGAGAUGCAUAUAUCAUAGAGAACUGAAGUAGCACUUUCGUUGCUUAUGUAGCAUUAGCUAUCUUAACAAGUACAUUUUUGUAAGAUUGGCGCUUGUUGCACAGCCUAUAUGUUAGGAACGGAUUUACGAAUUUCAAACCUUGUGUUUUGUUACUACAUCAGCCAAUCGUUGUAAAUCUCUAACGUUUGUAACCUAUCCCGAUAUAGUGAAAUUCGUUGGCUGGAGCCCGUGGUUUUUUCCCUUCUCAUUGGAGGGGUUUUCCACGC